RNAcentral lists this ribosomal RNA (338 nucleotides) under uncultured Gemmatimonadota bacterium. RNAcentral's name for it is "bacterial SSU rRNA". It matches the Rfam family "Bacterial small subunit ribosomal RNA", at positions 28 to 351 of the family's 1533-position model. The record is from RNAcentral. Lineage: Bacteria; Pseudomonadati; Gemmatimonadota.
GACGAACGCUGGCGGCGUGCCUAACACAUGCAAGUCGUACGAGGACGGUCUUCGGACCGAGCCGAGUGGCGGACGGGUGAGUAACACGUGACUAAUCUGCCUUUGAGAGGGGGAUAACCUGGGGAAACCCGGGCUAAUACCGCAUGACGUGUCGUGCUCGCAUGGGCGUGACACCAAAGGGAAGCCUCUACUUGUAAGCUUUCGCUCGAAGAGGAGGUCGCGGCGUAUCAGCUAGUUGGUAGGGUAACGGCCUACCAAGGCGACGACGCGUAGCGGGUCUGAGAGGACGACCCGUCACAUUGGGACUGAGAUACGGCCCAGACACCUACGGGAGGCUG